UCCCGAUAAAGGCAAACCCGGCGAAAGCGGCGACGCAAAGCUACAGGGGCUUCGCCGUUAACGUUAGCGGCAUGCCAGCCAGCUGCCGAA
RNAcentral lists this non-coding RNA (90 nucleotides) under Paenibacillus sp. Its description in RNAcentral is "c-di-GMP sequence". It matches the Rfam family "c-di-GMP-I riboswitch aptamer". Rfam says of the family: GEMM was predicted in a large-scale screen for bacterial structured RNA regulatory elements. Genes associated with GEMM are involved in a diverse array of functions, including chemotaxis regulation, signal transduction, secretion and chitin. The record is from RNAcentral. Lineage: Bacteria; Bacillati; Bacillota; Bacilli; Caryophanales; Paenibacillaceae.